Long non-coding RNA from Callithrix jacchus (white-tufted-ear marmoset), 2563 nucleotides. RefSeq lists it as uncharacterized. The record is from RefSeq and is a predicted model, not a curated record. Lineage: Eukaryota; Metazoa; Chordata; Mammalia; Primates; Cebidae.
GCGCCGGCAGCAGCACCCUGGUCACGUGGCCGGCCCGUCGCCAUGGCAACCCGCUAACUCAUCACCUCGCCUCAAUUCGCACAGGGCCGCAGCGUGACCACGCCAGCAGCUCCAGGCAGGCACCGGGGCAGGCCUACAUCUGGCAUGUAAAACCCCAGGCCACCCUGCAGCCCCCCUAGCAGACUUGCCUUGUCUGAAAACCAGCUCUUCCUCUAAUCAUUUCCUUUCCGACCCGUGCUCCAACUGCAGCUGUGUACACAAAAGAACGAUUCAUGCAAAGGGGUGUGGGAGACCCUUUAACUCCUUCAAUACCAAAAUUUUAUGCCAUGACAAUUAAACCUGGUCAGGUUCCAGAAAAACCUAAAAAGGACCUGGUGGCCAGCUUGUAGAAAAGAAUGCAAGCUGAGUGGCAACUCCUGAAUAUAAAUACAAAGGAAGCCAGGAGAAAGUGGGGAAAUGGUCAUUCUAUCAGGUACCAGGGACCUCCAGAGUUCCAGAGCCACUCAGAACCCAGGCCAUCAAGUGGCAGCCAGGGACAUUGGAAGGAAGAGUCUUCCUGAGCCUGGAACUUCUGUCAAGUCUGGUGUGUACCACGGCAGAGCUAUGGCUUGUGGAUGGCUCCUCAACAGCGUGUCAAGGGAACAUGAGGCCAGCAGCUGGAAAGCAGUCCUACAAUUCCAGUCUCUUUGGGGAAGAUCCUGUCAGCCUUCAAUGAUGCAAUGGAAUGCUGAAUGAGAAGUAAUGGCAUGUAGUAUAAAGAGCAUGCACAAGGUUGGAUUUAUUUCUCCUCCCUUUGAAUCACCAUGGCAGCUUUGAUCAACAGAUUUUGGUAGAAAUGAUGCCAACCGGUUCUUGACCUAGACCUUACAAUGACAGGCAGCUUUUGCCUUAGUCUCUUAAAGGUCAGCUGCCCCGUGAGAAGUUCAGCUACCCUGGAACAACCAUGCUGCCCUGUGAGAAGUUCCACUACCCUGGGGUAAGUGCCAACCAUGUGGAAAGGCCCAGAGGAUUGGACACAUGGAGAUGGAGGGGAAGAGAGAAGGAAGAGACCACAAAGAGUACCAAGGCUCCAAAUAUGUGACUGAAGAAGUGCCCUGCAUCUCUACCCACCACAGCUGACACUCUAUGGAUGUAUAGAUCAGAAAGGAGCUGCCUAGCCAAGAGCUUCCUGAAUCCCUGGUCCACAAAACCAAGAUGUAUGACAAAUGGUUAUUUUAGAUUAGUAAGUUUUGGGGUAGUCUGUUAUUCAUUAACAGACAACAGAAAAACCCUGUUGGUUCUCUAUUGUGACUCCAAACUUGAUGGGUUAAAACAGCAGCAAUCAUUUUAUUAUCUCUUGUCAUUCUGGAGGUUGGCUGGGCUUGGCUAGGUGGUUGUCACACAUGGUCUCUCAUGUAGCUGUGGUUGGAAGGUGACUGACUACUGAAGUCAUCAUAAAGACUUCCUCAGUCUCAUGACUGUUGGCUGAUGUUGCCUUUUAGUUGGGGCCUCAGCUGGGGCUGUAGCUGGAAUACCUAUGCAAGGCUUCCCCAUGUGACUCAGGCUUCUCACAGCAUGGUGGCUCAGUUUCUAGCACAAUCGGCCCUAAUGAGCAGGCAGAAGGCCAUGGCAGUUUAAAAACUCGUCUUGGAAGUCACGGAACAUCAUUUCCAUUGUACUAUGCUGGUCAGGGGUGCCACAAAGGUCCACCCAGAUUCAAGAAUAAGGGCUAUCAGCACCACUGUAACCUAACAAGGAGGAAUGUCAAUCUCACACUGCAAGAAGAACUUGUGGGGUGGAAGACAUUGUGGUAACCCACGUUGGAAAACCUGUCACACACACUUGCUGAAACUUCUUUACUCCCUGUGUCCUCAGCAUGGGGCAGGAACUCAAGAGAGGAAGAAAAGAAUCAGUGCUCAAGUUCCGAGUAUCAAAAUCAACUUGUAAGCCCAUGGCAGAGAGACUAACCUGAGGAAAACUUUAUGAGCCUUAUUUUCAAGUAUCAACAGCUUAAGAUCUUUAAAAGACUCAGAACCUACAGUUCGUGCCAUAAGCCACAGACUACAUGACUGGUUAGAGAUGUUGGAUUAGAAGCUGGUGAGUGUCCUUGAAGAGGGACUCUGCCCCAGCCAUGCCCCAAGUUGACAUGGGAAUUUGAGAGUAUAGGGAACCUGUGUUCCACUUUAUAUCUGGAACCCUGAAGGAUGCCAAAGCCACACAGAAGGUCCCUAGUCACCUUGGCACAGGAACAGCGGGGUGCAGAUGCAGGUAAAGUGUUUAGGCCAACAACAGUUUUUCUGCAGAGCUAGCAAAUAUUUUUGGAGAGAAAGAACAAACCUGACCCCAUGUGGUAGUGACAAACAUCAACAGAAAAGAACAGGCCUCUGCAGACUGUGCCCAUUUUCCUUGGGGAAGGUUGCCAUGGAAGCAACUCAAAAAUAAAAAAUAAAAAAUAAAUACGAUCUCCAUUCAGGUUUCCAGAAGUACCUUGUAAAAAUGUGAGCCUAUGGUGUGGUAUCUAUAUUCAUCGCUGCAUUCUCUCACUUACUGAAUAAGCAGGUCAGAGGCAUGUGUAGAAAUUAGG